Molecule: RNA transcript, 2915 nt
Organism: Zonotrichia leucophrys gambelii
Lineage: Eukaryota; Metazoa; Chordata; Aves; Passeriformes; Passerellidae
Gene name: cyclic AMP-dependent transcription factor ATF-6 beta-like
Exons: 17
Source: RefSeq, a predicted model, not a curated record
CCGCACUGCGCAGGCGCCAAGAGGCUGGCGGGAAUUCUCCGCGCUGCUAUUGGCCGGAGGGUGAAGCAGAGCAAGCGCUGAUUGGCUGGCGGCCAGAAGGGGCGUGGCCAAGCGGCGUGAGGGGGGGAAGAUGGCGGCGGCGGCGCUGGCGCCGGAGCUGCUGGUGCAGCUGGACCCGGGGCGGUUCCGGGCCGAUAAUUUGCUGGGGGCCGAGGAUUGGGAUGACGCCCUUUACGGUUGCCUUGACGACCGCCUGGACCCCGCCCACCUCUUCCCCUCCCUGGACCCCGACCCCAUGUUCGGCUGCGCCCUGGACCCCCCCGACCCCCCCUGGCACCAGGAGCCCCCCCCGGCCUGCCCAGAUCUGCAGGUGAAAUCUGAGCCGGACUCCCCGACCUCGUCCCUGAGCUCCGACUGCUCCUGCUCCUCUGAGCCCCAAAUCUGGGCCCCCAGCCCCCCCGAAAUGGGGGUGAAACCGGAGCCCCCCCAGGACCCCCCAGGGCAGCCCCCGGGGGGGGUGAAGGCCGAGGGGCCCCCCCAGAUCCAGCCCCGACCCCCCCAGAGCCCCCCAAAAUCCUUCGGGCCCGGGAACGGCGGCACCGCGACCCUGCCAGUGCCCUGCACGCUGCUGCUCUCCCCGGCCGAGCUGCUCCUCCCGGGGGGGCUCCUGUGCCUGCCCCGCCCCCCCCCAGCCCCCCCCAGAACCGAAACCCCCCGGGCGGCCAUCGCCCCUGGCCCCGCCCCCGCCACGCCCACGGCCACGCCCACACAACAGCCAGACGUGCGUGCCCUGCGGCGGCAGCAGCGCAUGAUCAAGAACCGCGAGUCCGCCAGCGCCUCCCGGCGGCGCCGCAAGGAAUACCUGGAGCAGCUGGAGCGGAGCCUGAGCCUGGCGCUGGCCGACAACGAGCGGCUGCGGCGCGACAACGGCGCCCUCCGGCGGCGGCUGCAGGAACUGCAGAGCCCCCCGCCCCUCCCCCCGGUGAAGCUGGCGUGUGUGGGGGCGCUGCUGCUGCUCACCUGGUACCUGGCACCGCUCAGCCUCGCUCCAGGCCCCGCCCCUGCCCCUCCCCCGCGGGGGGGGCGGCGCCUCCUGGGGGCGGGGCCAGAGCCGGGGCCCCUCCCCCCCCUCGGGGACCCCCCCGGCAUUUGGGGACCCCCCCGGGAGCCCCGCGGCCCCUUCAGGAAUUCGUCGCUGACCCCGUGGGGCCACGCCCCCAUCGCUGGCCCCGCCCCCUCCGCUGGCCACGCCCCCAGCGCUGGCCCCGCCCCCAGCCCCGAGUGCCGCAGCUUCAACCGCAGCGAAUCCCUCAGGCUGGCGGAUGAACUGCGGGGUUGGGUCCGGAGGCACCAAAGGCAAAAGGAGCGAGAGACCCCCGGGGGGACCCCCCAGAAACCCCCCAAGGGCCAGUUUCAGGGCUCGGGGCUGCUCCCGGCUGCGCCCCCCAGGCCUGAGAGGCCCCCCCCGUGGCCGCUGCAGCCGUUCCAGGGCCGGGUCCCCCCCGAGCCCCCGAUCCUGGCGGCCAUCGAGCGCAGGGACGACACCUUCUACGUCGUCUCCUUCCGCAGGGACCACCUGCUCCUCCCAGCCCGGAGCCACAACAAAACCUCGAGGCCCAAAAUGUCCCUGGUGAUGCCGGCGGCCGCUCUGAACGAGUCGCUGGGCGGGGCCCAGCCCAUGAUGCAGGUGGACUGCGAGGUGAUGGACACGCGCGUCAUCCACGUGCGCCGGCAGGCCACGCCCCCUCCCAGAGCCACGCCCCCUCCCAGAGCCACGCCCACCCGCAGACCCCGACCAAUCAGCUUGGGGGGAGAUGGCGGCUGAGACACACCCACUUCCGGGAAAAGCCACGCCCCCUUUGUUAUAUGUGCAGGUAGAAGCCACGCCCCCUUGCGAUUGAGUUUAAGCCACGCCCCCUCAUAACUCACGAGUUUGAGGCCACGCCCCCUUUAAACUCAUGUCUAUGAGGCCACACCUCCAUCGGAUUGAGAGGUUAAGCCACGCCCCCUCUAAACUCACAUGCUUGAGGCCACGCCCUCUUUAAACUCAUGUCUAUGAGGCCACGCCCCCAUUGAAUUGAGAGGUUAAGCCACGCCCCCUCUAAACUCACAUACUUGAGGCCACGCCCCCUUUAAACCACGUGUUUGAGGCCACGCCCCCAUCAGAUUGAGCGGCUAAGCCACGCCCCCUCUAAACUCACGAGUUUGAGGCCACGCCCCCUUUAAACUCAUGUCUAUGAGGCCACACCUCCAUCAGAUUGAGAGGUUAAGCCACGCCCCCUUUAAACUUACAUGUUUGCGGCCACGCCCCCUUGAGGAUCGCGUUUAAGCCACGCCCCCUUCCAACUCACGAGUUUGAGGCCACGCCCUCUUUAAACUCACAUGUUUGAGGCCACGCCCACUUGAAAGUGAGAGCUUAGGCCACACCCCCUUUGAAUUAAUGUGUUUGAGGCCCCGCCCUCUUUGGAUCAAUCAUUUAAGCCCCGCCCCCCACACAUGUUUGAGGCCACACCCCGUGUCAAUCCACAGGGUUUAGGCCACGCCCCCACAAUGCAAUUUAAGCCACGCCCCCUGCCCAACAAGCACGGUUCAUGGCCGUGCCCCUCUAAUUUGCAUAAUUAAGCCACGCCCUUCCUUUUAGAAGUUUAUUCAAUGCUAUCUGGCCUUUAAGCUCCACCCACUUUUACAUCAGGCCCUGCCCCCUCAUUAAAACCCAUUUGUGGCCACGCCCCUCAAGGGAAGUGAACCUGGCCAUGCCUACUGUGAAGCCCCGCCCCUUUUGUGUGUGGGCGUGGUUUAUGCUGAGGCCACGCCUCUUCUUAAAGGGGCGGCGCCAUUUUCUGUCCCCGCCUCUCCCCUUGCAGCGUUUUUUUACCCGAAUCAAUAAAAAAUGGGGGAAAAUCCCCAAAAAUCCA